Long non-coding RNA from Haliotis rubra (blacklip abalone), 466 nucleotides. RefSeq lists it as uncharacterized. The transcript has 2 exons. The record is from RefSeq and is a predicted model, not a curated record. Lineage: Eukaryota; Metazoa; Mollusca; Gastropoda; Lepetellida; Haliotidae.
UAUCAGUCGGACAAUAACGCUGUAUCACCUGGUAUCGGGGGGCAGGGUACACCGUACACCGGCAGUGGCGGUACAUUGUGUUGUGAACUGCAGGGGAAAAACACAUCAGCUUCAAGAUGAGAGAGUUUGUGAAAAUGAACGCUGCCUUUUCUGGGUCGAGUGUGCUGGUCGUCGCCGCGGUGUCGUUGCUGGUCGGGGCAUAUCUCGGCUACAGAAUCCGUGACAAGAUGGACAAGAAACAGGGAAAGGACUGUCACUGAUAUCAGGGUACACAUGGAGUAGGCGUGGACGGUGUAUAGAGCAGUGCACGUCGUCGUAAGCCAGUGAGGACAUGGACCUGCUAUUGAGUAUUCAGUAUGUUCAGUACCUUCACGUGGGGGAUCGGUUCAACGUCACUGAACAAUAAACACAACACCGUGAUUCGAAAUCUCCACUUUACGUUGAAUAAAUGAUUUUCCCACUUUUA